RNAcentral lists this ribosomal RNA (492 nucleotides) under uncultured soil bacterium. RNAcentral describes it as "bacterial SSU rRNA". It matches the Rfam family "Bacterial small subunit ribosomal RNA", at positions 26 to 498 of the family's 1533-position model. The record is from RNAcentral.
AGAGUGAACGCUGGCGGUAGGCCUAACACAUGCAAGUCGAACGGCAGCACAGUGGUAGCAAUACCAUGGGUGGCGAGUGGCGGACGGGUGAGGAAUACAUCGGAAUCUACCUUUUCGUGGGGGAUAACGUAGGGAAACUUACGCUAAUACCGCAUACGCCCUUCGGGGGAAAGCCGGGGAUCGCAAGACCUGGCGCGGAUAGAUGAGCCGAUGUCGGAUUAGCUAGUUGGUGAGGUAAUGGCUCACCAAGGCGACGAUCCGUAGCUGGUCUGAGAGGAUGAUCAGCCACACUGGAACUGAGACACGGUCCAGACUCCUACGGGAGGCAGCGAGUGGGGAAUAGUUGGACAAGUGGGCGCAAGCCUGAUCCAGCCAUACCGGCGUGGGUGAAGAAGGCCUUCGGUUGUAAAGUCCCGUUUGUUAGGUAAAGAAAAGCAAGUACGGUUAAUACCCGGUUGUUCGUAGACGGUACCCAAAGAAUAAGACGACCGU